This 72-nucleotide transfer RNA is filed under the name Diaphorina citri (Asian citrus psyllid). It matches the Rfam family "tRNA". From Rfam's summary of the family: Transfer RNA (tRNA) molecules are approximately 80 nucleotides in length. Their secondary structure includes four short double-helical elements and three loops (D, anti-codon, and T loops). Lineage: Eukaryota; Metazoa; Arthropoda; Insecta; Hemiptera; Psyllidae. The record is from Rfam by way of RNAcentral.
GCUCCCAUGGCGUAGUGGUUUCUGCACUCGCCUUGCACGCGGGAGACCCGGGUUCGAUUCCCGGCGGGGUCA